UACGGAGGAUGCGAGCGUUAUCCGGAUUUAUUGGGUUUAAAGGGUGCGUAGGUGGGCUUUUAAGUCAGUGGUGAAAGUUUGUCGCUCAACGAUAAAAUUGCCAUUGAAACUGUGAGUCUUGAGUAUGUUUGAGGUAGGCGGAAUGCGUGGUGUAGCGGUGAAAUGCAUAGAUAUCACGCAGAACUCCGAUUGCGAAGGCAGCUUACUAAACCAUAACUGACACUGAAGCA
Molecule: ribosomal RNA, 230 nt
Filed under: uncultured microorganism
Description: partial 16S ribosomal RNA
Rfam family: Bacterial small subunit ribosomal RNA
Source: RNAcentral